Long non-coding RNA from Pangasianodon hypophthalmus (striped catfish), 819 nucleotides. RefSeq lists it as uncharacterized. The transcript is spliced from 3 exons. Lineage: Eukaryota; Metazoa; Chordata; Actinopteri; Siluriformes; Pangasiidae. The record is from RefSeq and is a predicted model, not a curated record.
GCAUUUCAUUAGAUCGCAGCUUGUUUUGAUAUUGUCUGAUUAAUGGCUCAUGUUACUUGCUGUGCUCAAGAAAUCUUGCAGUAUCCAGGUAUCCAGGAUGUCCUAGGUUCUUCAUUAUGCUUGACAUCAAAAUGGGUCAUACUACUGAGGAGGAAUGUAAAGGCACACCCAACCUAUCUGUCCACACAUCGCGUUGGAGGGUGAGAGCAACAGAGCUGGUGAAAAAGAGGAAAACGUGCCAGCAGCAAAGUGAGGCUAAAACACACUACUUUAGCUUGACAUUUACACAAGCUAGCCAAACAAACCUCUGGAAACAAAGCAGCCUCACACGCAGAGCAGCCACUACCACCACACACUUCCAAGAGGGCGCUUUUAUCCACGUACACCCACCUUUCUUCUGAAAACAGCACUUCCAAUUGGUGGACCAGGGAGCAGCAACCGCACACCAGCGACACAACCACUGGUUGAAUCGCCACCUGUGAGCAAGCUCAUUGGAAAAUUCCAAAAAAAUGAAUCUUGACAUUCUUUUCAGCAACCCAGCAUUUUCACAAUGUGUGCUUGGUAAAGAAAAAAAAAAAGAAGAAAAGAAGACAUGAAGACACAAGGAAUAAUCAUCACAAAUGCAAUAAAUUUGCUUCCCAAAGGAAAAAAAAAAAUUCAACUGUUCCCUUAUCUUCAGAGACCUCAGGGAGCCUAUUAAAAAUGUCUAAAUCCUUAGCUGCCUUACUUUUGGGAACUUUUAACACCUGCUUAUUGCAUACAUAAUGAAUCAUAGCCACUGCACAUUCAAGACAUCAUCAUUAUGUCCAGUGCAUCAUC